This 292-nucleotide ribosomal RNA is filed under the name uncultured Diversispora. Its description in RNAcentral is "partial small subunit ribosomal RNA". It matches the Rfam family "Eukaryotic small subunit ribosomal RNA", at positions 569 to 864 of the family's 1831-position model. Lineage: Eukaryota; Fungi; Glomeromycota; Glomeromycetes; Diversisporales; Diversisporaceae. The record is from RNAcentral.
AGCAGCCGCGGUAAUUCCAGCUCCAAUAGCGUAUAUUAAAGUUGUUGCAGUUAAAAAGCUCGUAGUUGAACUUCGGGGUUUACCCAUUGGUCAGGCUUAAUUGUCUGUACUGGUGAGAUGAAUCUCUACCUUCUGAGGAACUUUCAUGCCAUUUAUUUGGUGUGAUGGGUAGCCAGAUAUUUUACUUUGAAAAAAUUAGAGUGUUUAAAGCAGGCGCUUGCUAUGAAUACAUUAGCAUGGAAUAAUAAGUUAGGACUUCGGUUCUAUUUUGUUGGUUUCUAGGACUGAAGUA